Curvularia clavata is the source of this 104-nucleotide non-coding RNA. Lineage: Eukaryota; Fungi; Ascomycota; Dothideomycetes; Pleosporales; Pleosporaceae. The record is from the annotation of a GenBank genome assembly.
GCCCGGCUAGCUCAAUCGGUAGAGCGUGAGACUCUUAGCUUUCACGUCCUAAUCAGACACGAUUGGUUAUCUCAAGGUUGUGGGUUCGACCCCCACGUCGGGCU